RNAcentral lists this transfer RNA (74 nucleotides) under Acipenser medirostris (green sturgeon). Its description in RNAcentral is "tRNA-Leu". It matches the Rfam family "tRNA". Rfam says of the family: Transfer RNA (tRNA) molecules are approximately 80 nucleotides in length. Lineage: Eukaryota; Metazoa; Chordata; Actinopteri; Acipenseriformes; Acipenseridae. RNAcentral also lists the same sequence under 1 other name. The record is from RNAcentral.
GCUAAGAUGGCAGAGCUUGGUAAUUGCAAAAGGCCUAAGCCCUUUCAACAGAGGUUCAAGUCCUCUUCUUAGCU